RNAcentral lists this ribosomal RNA (544 nucleotides) under uncultured bacterium. RNAcentral describes it as "bacterial SSU rRNA". It matches the Rfam family "Bacterial small subunit ribosomal RNA", at positions 28 to 564 of the family's 1533-position model. The record is from RNAcentral.
GAUGAACGCUGGCGGCAUGCCUUACACAUGCAAGUCGAACGGCAGCACGGGGGGCAACCCUGGUGGCGAGUGGCGAACGGGUGAGUAAUGCAUCGGAACGUGUCCUCUUGUGGGGGAUAACCAGUCGAAAGACUGGCUAAUACCGCAUGAGAUCGAAAGAUGAAAGCGGGGACCGCAAGGCCUCGCGCGAGAGGAGCGGCCGAUGCCGGAUUAGCUAGUUGGUGGGGUAAUGGCCCACCAAGGCGACGAUCCGUAGCUGGUCUGAGAGGACGACCAGCCACACUGGGGAACUGAGACACGGCCCCAGACUCCUACGGGAGGCAGCAGUGGGGAAUUUUGGACAAUGGGCGCAAGCCUGAUCCAGCCAUGCCGCGUGUGUGAAGAAGGCCUCGGGUUGUAAAGCACUUUCGGACGGAACGAAAUCGCGCGCAUGAACAAUGGCGCGUGGAUGACGGUACCGUAAGAAGAAGCACCGGCUAACUACGUGCCAGCAGCCGCGGUAAUACGUAGGGUGCAAGCGUUAAUCGGAAUUACUGGGCGUAAA